Brassica oleracea var. oleracea is the source of this 1105-nucleotide long non-coding RNA. RefSeq lists it as uncharacterized. The record is from RefSeq and is a predicted model, not a curated record. The transcript has 4 exons. Lineage: Eukaryota; Viridiplantae; Streptophyta; Magnoliopsida; Brassicales; Brassicaceae.
GAUGUGGGGGUAGGGAAGGUGUUCCCUCCAAUUUGGUUUGUGUACAUGAGUGAAGCCAACAAUUAUUUUUAGGGUUCGUCGUCUCAAUGGACGGAUCAGGUCUAACACCAAUCGUGGCUCUCCAACUCUCAUAGAUUCGCGUCGGUGUGUAUAUGUCGAUUCGAGUCUUUUUAAUCUUGAUUAAUCUCCUCUCAGGCGUUACAAGCUGCAUUCAUUCGUCGUCAUCAAUAAAAUAUUUUUACACACUAAAAUCACAAUUAUGAAUUCAAUUGUUCUUAUCUCUCUUCCAAGCGGUGGAUCUACACCUAUAAAAAAAGGCUGGUGGCAAGUUGUUGGGUGUGGACAUACUCUUCCUCGACUCUCAGCCACCCGAAAGAAAUGAAUCACUCACUCGCUCACCAACCAACAACACAAACACAAAAGCGGUAACGUGAUUCAUCUGGCCUUGCAACGAUACCGUAAGUGGUACCAAAACUGAAACGUCUUCAGUUGAUGGGCCUUCAAGAAGUAGUGGCUCAUCAAGGGAAGAAGAGGAAGAUGCAAAUCAUUCGGAUGAGGUCUGAGUACCAGUUUAUAAGAUUACAUUCUAAGAUAUAUUUGAAAACUGAGGGAUGGUCGUGUCUGUAGUUUCCUUGAGUGACUACAACCAUGGUACCCGUGGAGUUCUGAUUCUAAUUCCAGCUCAUGUGAACUUAGCGGAGGAGAAGCUGAUGCUCUGCGACAGUGACACAUGGCAGGAGAGUUAAGGAGGGGGUUGUUCAACUCGCUCCUUUGAGAUGGAUCGGUGAUCGAGGCAGUCGCACCAGAGACAUUUGAGGUUAUGUCUGUCAUCCACAUCCUCUUCCCAACUCAUAUCUUAAAUCCAUAACCGCUCUUUGACAUGGAACACUGUUGCUCAAUGGCCACAAAGUGAGCAUAUAUAUUAUACACUCAUACGUAUGGGUGUUAUCUAUAGUUUUUCAUACAUAAAUUAUUUGAUCACACUUUUUUGUGUACGCCAAAGCACUGGCAAGAGGAAUAAUCCUCAUUACAAACAAAGAUCAAUUGUAUUUUCCUUUUUUUCAUACAUGUUCAAACAUUCUCUUUAUACAUACAACUCUAUGUC